AUUGAACGCUGGCGGCAGGCCUAACACAUGCAAGUCGAACGGCAGCACAGUACUUGCUUGUUGUUACGGGGGGCGAGGGGCGGACGGUGCCUGGAUACCUGGCUGUCUGCGUUUGAUUGCGUGCGAACGCAGGCGAACUUACGCUAAUACUGCAUAGGACGUACGGGUGAGAUCUUGGGACCUUCGGCCCUCGCACGAUUCAAGGACGCGAUGUCGGAUUAGCUGGUUGGUGGGGUAAAGGCACACCAAGGCGACGAUCCUUAGCUGGUCUGAGCGGAUGAUCAGUCACACGGGAACUGAGACACGGUCCAGACUCCUACGGGAGGCAGCAGUGGGGAAUAGUGGACGAGGGGCGAAAGCCUGAUCCAGCCAUGCCGCGUGUGUGAAGAAGGUCGUCGGAUUGUAAAGCACUUUAAGUUGGGAGGAAGGGCAGUAAGUUAAUACCUUGCUGUUUUGACGUUACCAACAGAAUAAGCACCGGCUAACUUCGUG
RNAcentral lists this ribosomal RNA (492 nucleotides) under uncultured bacterium. RNAcentral's name for it is "partial 16S ribosomal RNA". It matches the Rfam family "Bacterial small subunit ribosomal RNA", at positions 30 to 507 of the family's 1533-position model. The record is from RNAcentral.